CUCCCCGAAAGCUAUUUAGGUAGCGCCUCGUGAAUUCAUCUCCGGGGGUAGAGCACUGUUUCGGCUAGGGGGCCAUCCCGGCUUACCAACCCGAUGCAAACUGCGAAUACCGGAGAAUGUUAUCACGGGAGACACACGGCGGGUGCUAACGUCCGUCGUGAAGAGGGAAACAACCCAGACCGCCAGCUAAGGUCCCAAAGUCAUGGUUAAGUGGGAAACGAUGUGGGAAGGCCCAGACAGCCAGGAUGUUGGCUUAGAAGCAGCCAUCAUUUAAAGAAAGCGUAAUAGCUCACUGGUCGAGUCGGCCUGCGCGGAAGAUGUAACGGGGCUAAACCAUGCACCGAAGCUGCGGCAGCGACGCUGAUGCGUUGUUGGGUAGGGGAGCGUUCUGUAAGCCUGCGAAGGUGGCCUGUGAGGGUUGCUGGAGGUAUCAGAAGUGCGAAUGCUGACAUAAGUAACGAUAAAGCGGGUGAAAAGCCCGCUCGCCGGAAGACCAAGGGUUCCUGUCCAACGUUAAUCGGGGCAGGGUGAGUCGACCCCUAAGGCGAGGCCGAAAGGCGUAGUCGAUGGGAAACGGGUUAAUAUUCCCGUACUUGGUGUUACUGCGAAGGGGGGACGGAGAAGGCUAUGUUGGCCGGGCGACGGUUGUCCCGGUUUAAGCGUGUAGGUGUGUGUUCCAGGUAAAUCCGGUUCACUUUAACACUGAGGCGUGAUGACGAGGCACUACGGUGCUGAAGCAACAAAUGCCCUGCUUCCAGGAAAAGCCUCUAAGCAUCAGGUAACAUCAAAUCGUACCCCAAACCGACACAGGUGGUCAGGUAGAGAAUACCAAGGCGCUUGAGAGAACUCGGGUGAAGGAACUAGGCAAAAUGGUGCCGUAACUUCGGGAGAAGGCACGCUGACACGUAGGUGAAGUGAUUUACUCAUGGAGCUGAAGUCAGUCGAAGAUACCAGCUGGCUGCAACUGUUUAUUAAAAACACAGCACUGUGCAAACACGAAAGUGGACGUAUACGGUGUGACGCCUGCCCGGUGCCGGAAGGUUAAUUGAUGGGGUCAGCGCAAGCGAAGCUCCUGAUCGAAGCCCCGGUAAACGGCGGCCGUAACUAUAACGGUCCUAAGGUAGCGAAAUUCCUUGUCGGGUAAGUUCCGACCUGCACGAAUGGCGUAAUGAUGGCCAGGCUGUCUCCACCCGAGACUCAGUGAAAUUGAACUCGCUGUGAAGAUGCAGUGUACCCGCGGCAAGACGGAAAGACCCCGUGAACCUUUACUAUAGCUUGACACUGAACAUUGAGCCUUGAUGUGUAGGAUAGGUGGGAGGCUUUGAAGUGUGGACGCCAGUCUGCAUGGAGCCGGCCUUGAAAUACCACCCUUUAAUGUUUGAUGUUCUAACGUGGACCCGUGAUCCGGGUUGCGGACAGUGUCUGGUGGGUAGUUUGACUGGGGCGGUCUCCUCCUAAAGAGUAACGGAGGAGCACGAAGGUUGGCUAAUCCUGGUCGGACAUCAGGAGGUUAGUGCAAUGGCAUAAGCCAGCUUGACUGCGAGCGUGACGGCGCGAGCAGGUGCGAAAGCAGGUCAUAGUGAUCCGGUGGUUCUGAAUGGAAGGGCCAUCGCUCAACGGAUAAAAGGUACUCCGGGGAUAACAGGCUGAUACCGCCCAAGAGUUCAUAUCGACGGCGGUGUUUGGCACCUCGAUGUCGGCUCAUCACAUCCUGGGGCUGAAGUAGGUCCCAAGGGUAUGGCUGUUCGCCAUUUAAAGUGGUACGCGAGCUGGGUUUAGAACGUCGUGAGACAGUUCGGUCCCUAUCUGCCGUGGGCGCUGGAGAACUGAGGGGGGCUGCUCCUAGUACGAGAGGACCGGAGUGGACGCAUCACUGGUGUUCGGGUUGUCAUGCCAAUGGCACUGCCCGGUAGCUAAAUGCGGAAGAGAUAAGUGCUGAAAGCAUCUAAGCACGAAACUUGCCCCGAGAUGAGUUCUCCCUGAGACUUAGAGUCUCCUGAAGGAACGUUGAAGACGACGACGUUGAUAGGCCGGGUGUGUAAGCGCAGCGAUGCGUUGAGCUAACCGGUACUAAUGAACCGUGAGGCUUAACCUU
Molecule: ribosomal RNA, 2095 nt
Filed under: Salmonella enterica
Lineage: Bacteria; Pseudomonadati; Pseudomonadota; Gammaproteobacteria; Enterobacterales; Enterobacteriaceae
Description: partial 23S ribosomal RNA
Rfam family: Bacterial large subunit ribosomal RNA
Source: RNAcentral